AAAGGAAUUGACGGGGAGCACACAACAGGUGGAGCCUGCGGUUUAAUCGGACUCAACGCCGGGAAACUCACCAGAUAAGACAGCUGAAUGAUAGUCGGGCUGAAGACUCUACUUGACUAGCUGAGAGGAGGUGCAUGGCCGUCGUCAGUUCGUACUGUGAAGCAUCCUGUUAAGUCAGGCAACGAGCGAGACCCACGCCAACAGUUGCCAGCUCGUCCUCCGGGAUGGUGGGGACACUGUUGGGACCGCCGCUGCUAAAGCGGAGGAAGGAAUGGGCAACGGUAGGUCAGUAUGCCCCGAAUAUCCCGGGCUACACGCGAGCUACAAUGGUUGGUACAAUGGGUAUCUACCCCGAAAGGGGACGGGAAUCUCCUAAAACCAAUCUUAGUUCGGAUUGAGGGCUGCAACUCGCCCUCAUGAAGCUGGAAUCCGUAGUAAUCGCGUUUCAACAGAACGCGGUGAAUACGUCCCUGCUCCUU
This 479-nucleotide ribosomal RNA is filed under the name uncultured Methanomicrobiales archaeon. RNAcentral's name for it is "bacterial SSU rRNA". It matches the Rfam family "Archaeal small subunit ribosomal RNA", at positions 858 to 1338 of the family's 1478-position model. The record is from RNAcentral. Lineage: Archaea; Methanobacteriati; Methanobacteriota; Methanomicrobia; Methanomicrobiales.